Molecule: ribosomal RNA, 541 nt
Filed under: uncultured bacterium
Lineage: Bacteria
Description: bacterial SSU rRNA
Rfam family: Bacterial small subunit ribosomal RNA
Source: RNAcentral
CCCGAACUCAUACGGGAGGCAGCAGUGGGGAAUAUUGCACAAUGGGCGGAAGCCUGACGCAGCCAUACCGCGUGUGUGAAGAAGGCCUUCGGGUUGUAAAGCACUUUCAAUAGGGAGAAAAGGCCCCCGGUUAAUAGCCGAGGGGAGUUGAUGUUACCUAUAGAAGAAGCACCGGCUAACUCCGUGCCAGCAGCCGCGGUAAUACGGAGGGUGCGAGCGUUUAUCGGAAUUACUGGGCGUAAAGCGCGCGUAGGCGGCCUGUUAAGUCAGCUGUGAAAGCCCCGGGCUCAACCUGGGAAUUGCAGUUGAUACUGUCAGGCUGGAGUACGAGAGAGGGAGGUAGAAUUCCAUGUGUAGCGGUGAAAUGCGUAGAUAUAUGUAGGAAUACCAAUGGCGAAGGCGGCCUCCUGGCUCGAUACUGACGCUGAGGUGCGAAAGCGUGGGUAGCAAUCAGGAUUAGAUACCCUGGUAGUCCUAGCCGUAAACUGCUCCUCUCUAGCCGUGGGUGAUUGCCCCCCUAGUGCCGCAGCUAACGUCUUAA